CAGUGAUCGGACUAAAAACCUUACUGUGGAAUCUUGCUAUGGAGAGGUCUGGGUGCCCCAGCCAUGUGACAUCCCACAAAUCUCUUACCUGUCCUUGGCUUCUGAGAAAAUGGGUUCCAUCAACACUCAAGAUGGGGAUGAACUGCCUGAGGCAUGGAUCAUGGGGACCAUCUUGAGAGCCUAUCAGCUACAUAAGUGAAGAGGAAUUUUAGCAAUUCAUUUUAUUGUAAUGACAGUCAUUGUGGCAUUAUUGGACUCCUGAAAUUGUUCUCCAGGACUGGCAUUUAGUGUUGAAAUAGGAGAGACUCUCAAGGACCCAGACCAGCCAGGAACCCUAUCAAGAGGUCUCACGCAGUUAAUAUGGAACUACACCCUAGUAGGAGGACAUAGAAAACAAACAGCAACAAAACACAUCUAGCAUCUCAGAUGGCGGUGAAUCUUACAGAGCAAAAUAAAGUGGGAAACAUGGAGACAGUGUGGAAGGUGUCAUUCUGAAGAAAGGGUGAUAGGGACAGCUCGUCUCAGGGGAUACAUCAAGAGAAAAUGAACAUGAGUACCGCGAGAAAAAGCAAUUUGAUUCAGAUUCCAGAGUUUGUAUUUGGCGUGUCUGUGUCUGUCAUCAUUGGAAAACUGCCUAAGGAAGUGUUACGAACAAGUUGAUCAUAAGGUGCUCGAGGCAUGUGGGCCACCGGAGGCCUGAAUCAAUACAGGAAAAGUGAGGGCCUAGAGAGAUGAGAUGAUGAUGACUAAUGUAAUUCUCCGAGCCGGACAUGUAUCCAGACGUGCUACCCACAACUCCUGGGGCAGUAGAGGGUGAUUCUUACAAAGACGGGCCGCGGAGCCAGGGGCUACCUCCAAGUGAUUGGAUAUAAUACACUGUUUCAUCCAAGUCCAGAAGUGGAGCGAUGUUCCAACACAGGCAGGCAACAGCUAAGAAUAAGGAAGAAGGAAGAAGGAAGAAGGCUUUUGAUGGCAUCUAAAAAUGUACAUGUUUGGCCUCCAAUAAAUCCUCUUUUUUUUUUUUUGAUUGUAUUUAUUUUAGAGAGAGAGAGAGAAAGAGAGGAGGGGCAGAG
This is a long non-coding RNA of Canis lupus familiaris (dog), 1073 nucleotides long. RefSeq lists it as uncharacterized. Lineage: Eukaryota; Metazoa; Chordata; Mammalia; Carnivora; Canidae. The record is from RefSeq and is a predicted model, not a curated record. The transcript has 7 exons.